AUUGAACGCUGGCGGCAUGCCUUACACAUGCAAGUCGAACGCCAAAGCGAGGGGCAACUCUUGCGAGUAGCGUGGCGCACGGGUGAGUAACACAUCGGAACGUAUCCACGAGUGGGGGACAACCAGUCGAAGAUUGGCUAAUACCGCAUACGCUGGGGACAGGAAGCGGGGACGGUCACACCGGCCUCGCGCUCGCGGGGCGGCCGAUGUCCGAUUAGCUAGNGGCGGGGUAAGAGCCACCAAGGCUGCGAUCGGUAGCGGGUCUGAGAGGAUGAUCCGCCACACUGGGACUGAGACACGGCCC
Molecule: ribosomal RNA, 304 nt
Filed under: uncultured bacterium
Lineage: Bacteria
Description: bacterial SSU rRNA
Rfam family: Bacterial small subunit ribosomal RNA
Source: RNAcentral